Molecule: ribosomal RNA, 592 nt
Filed under: Candida albicans
Lineage: Eukaryota; Fungi; Ascomycota; Pichiomycetes; Serinales; Debaryomycetaceae
Description: LSU rRNA
Rfam family: Eukaryotic large subunit ribosomal RNA
Source: RNAcentral
GCGGAGGAAAAGAAACCAACAGGGAUUGCCUCAGUAGCGGCGAGUGAAGCGGCAAAAGCUCAAAUUUGAAAUCUGGCGUCUUUGGCGUCCGAGUUGUAAUUUGAAGAAGGUAUCUUUGGGCCCGGCUCUUGUCUAUGUUCCUUGGAACAGGACGUCACAGAGGGUGAGAAUCCCGUGCGAUGAGAUGACCCGGGUCUGUGUAAAGUUCCUUCGACGAGUCGAGUUGUUUGGGAAUGCAGCUCUAAGUGGGUGGUAAAUUCCAUCUAAAGCUAAAUAUUGGCGAGAGACCGAUAGCGAACAAGUACAGUGAUGGAAAGAUGAAAAGAACUUUGAAAAGAGAGUGAAAAAGUACGUGAAAUUGUUGAAAGGGAAGGGCUUGAGAUCAGACUUGGUAUUUUGCAUGUUGCUCUCUCGGGGGCGGCCGCUGCGGUUUACCGGGCCAGCAUCGGUUUGGAGCGGCAGGAUAAUGGCGGAGGAAUGUGGCACGGCUUCUGCUGUGUGUUAUAGCCUCUGACGAUACUGCCAGCCUAGACCGAGGACUGCGGUUUUUUACCUAGGAUGUUGGCAUAAUGAUCUUAAGUCGCCCGUCUUG